GAGAAGUUAGUAAAUACAUUACAUAGCCUUGUCAAGACUAAAUCACAGGUUAAAACCCUGUACAUCUCA
Molecule: transfer RNA, 69 nt
Filed under: Apteryx owenii (little spotted kiwi)
Lineage: Eukaryota; Metazoa; Chordata; Aves; Apterygiformes; Apterygidae
Description: tRNA-Asp
Rfam family: tRNA
About the family: Transfer RNA (tRNA) molecules are approximately 80 nucleotides in length. Their secondary structure includes four short double-helical elements and three loops (D, anti-codon, and T loops). Further hydrogen bonds mediate the characteristic L-shaped molecular structure. tRNAs have two regions of fundamental functional importance: the anti-codon, which is responsible for specific mRNA codon recognition, and the 3' end, to which the tRNAs corresponding amino acid is attached (by aminoacyl-tRNA synthetases). tRNAs cope with the degeneracy of the genetic code in two manners: having more than one tRNA (with a specific anti-codon) for a particular amino acid; and 'wobble' base-pairing, i.e. permitting non-standard base-pairing at the 3rd anti-codon position.
Source: RNAcentral